Molecule: long non-coding RNA, 1059 nt
Organism: Amphiprion ocellaris (clown anemonefish)
Lineage: Eukaryota; Metazoa; Chordata; Actinopteri; Pomacentridae
Source: Ensembl
CAACAAAGCUGGACGAAGCCAUACUAUCGCAGUGGAACGACCUGUUCUUUGUAGCGAUUAUUAAGUGUUUACACUGCUUAAAGUCUUUUAAAGGCAAUAUGCCAGGUCCCAUAGUUCAGUGCGGGACUGCCACAACGGUACCCGUGGGCUAAAGAAGUGGAUGGAAGAGUUUUGCCCUAUUCACGAGUGCAAUAAAGGAACCUCGCGCUGUCUUAGUGACCCGCCUUAUGUACUCGUCACAUUUCCUACUGAAAGAAAAGAUCCAGAACGUCGUGCCGAAUGGAUUAAAUUACAUCGACUUUACAACGCUCAAAGUAAUCAAUAUCUGCGUCACGCUCGGCCAUGUUUAUGAUAUGGGGUAUCCCGACCUUUGACCCGGACCAGCAUACCUUGCGUGCGGGGAGGGCCCCCAGACAUCCAACACAAACCAAAUCUCACUCUAAGGUCUGGUCACAAGUUGGCAGCCCUGUGUUUCUACCAGCAGACACUGAAAGGACUCUGAUAGUUUGAGUGAAAGUAGCAGUUCCUCCUUAAGGUCAGAGAUUGCAGAAUCUGAGGGCUUCUUCAAAAGAAGACGUAGUUGAUGAAGGCGUUCUGGAGCAGGACCAAAAAGACCACGACCAAGCAGCCUUGAGAUCUUAGGCAGCGUCUCCCUCAGCUUCAGCUCCAGAGACGGCAGGUGGGACGAGUCAACGGAGGCCUGGUGGACGAAGGCAUGCAGCUGAGUACAAUCCAGAAAACAACAGAGGAGGAGUGCAGCAGCCCAGGACCAGAACAAACAGAGUAGCAUCGUAUGUCUCUGAGAAAACAUCAUAGUAUAGCCUUUGGUUUGAAAAAACGCCAUCAUAUACAUCGUAUAUUGUACAAAUAACAAGUCAAAGGAAAGACACAUACAUUGUAGAAUUGUAGUAAUUGUUUGCUGACUGAUUUACUGAUUAUCAGUAUUUUAUUUUUUACUGAUUUACGGUAAUAAAUACAUUUAAAAAUGGUGCUACUUUGGCUCUGAACCUUUAUCUACCUGUGGUUGCUCUGUCUUCUGGAGUGAUUUGAUUGGUUAUA